ACCAAAGCAAAGAAGAGAAGUAGUAAUAUUGGCUGUUUUGAAAGAGAGUCUGUGAUUGGUGGAAACAGAUAAAACGAAGAUAUGAAGUAGUCUUGGAGCUGUAUCUUUGAACUAGUAGUAGAAGAUACCGUAGUGAUGCACGUUACGCUGUUGAGAAGUAAGCAAAGGUGGUACCACGUUUAUACACGUCCUAUGC
This 196-nucleotide non-coding RNA is filed under the name Solobacterium moorei. RNAcentral describes it as "T-box sequence". It matches the Rfam family "T-box leader". From Rfam's summary of the family: Uncharged tRNA acts as the effector for transcription antitermination of genes in the T-box leader family. T-boxes are found upstream of many aminoacyl-tRNA synthetase genes and some amino acid biosynthetic genes usually in Gram-positive bacteria. Lineage: Bacteria; Bacillati; Bacillota; Erysipelotrichia; Erysipelotrichales; Erysipelotrichaceae. The record is from RNAcentral.